GCGCGGGGCGGGUCCAGCCGGCUGGGGUGUGCUGGCCUGUAGGCCAGGUCCGAGAGAGGCAGGGAGGGGACAGCCCCUGAGGGGCUGACGCGCCCUCCAGAAGCCAGGCGACGCGGCGCGGGCAAGCCCACCACCCGGAUUUUUCCAACCCGGCUUUGCGCACCCACAGCAGCGGCCCCAUGGAGGCAGCGGCGCCAUUUUAAUAGUCCUCAUUUCCCCCUUGGCAAGUCUCUUUCUGUCGUGUGUGUUGGGGUGUCUCUUACCCCUAUCCCGCCUAGACUUCAGCCCCCCUCCAUCAGCCUGGAUAGAGUGACCAAUCAGCUCUGGCCCAGGGUGGGAUGCGCGUCACCAUGGCGACAGCCAGGGCGCCCUGGCAGUGCCGCCCAUCACAGAGGGCGAGUCUUCACUCCUCCUGGACAGGGAGGUGAUGACUGGCGGGGGCUGGAGGAAGGCAGAGGCACCUCGUCCCCUAUCCGACCCCCUUCUCCCUAGGGUCAGUUCAUCUUGGGUCAGACAGAGGGAAAACGGACGAUGUUGGCAGGGCCUUGGUGGAGACCGGAGCUGUCUUGGGAGUGGCUCUUUCAGGAGUUUUCCCAACCCCCAGGGGGUGCUCCCCUCUGCCUUUCUCAUCUGGGUCCAUAGGACUGCUCUGGCCAACCUCUCACGCUCUUCUCUCUCAUUAAGAGAGUGGUGUUCAGGGGCUCUCAGAGGUUCCUCCAAAUUGCCUUACUCUUAAGUGCUGUGAUUGGGGGCAAGUCACUUCCCCUCUCUGAGUCUGGGUUUUCUCAUCCAUCAGAUGGACUGCUGUGCAGGCUCAAGGUAGACACUGAGGGCACAGUAGGUGUUCUAUCGAUGUUAGUGCCCCUUCUCCCCUUAAAAGGAAGGGCAAGAUGUUUGGGGAUGGAACUCAGAACUUGGGGAUGUCCUUUCUGUCUGAGGCAGCCAAGUUUGGGUGUCUCGUGGCUUCAUAGAGAAAGCUUUUUAUCUCUCCUCCAGACAGCUGGGAAUUGGACAGGAGGGGAGGGUUUUUCAAAAUAGAGUCAGGGUGGGGGAUGUGGCUGGAACAAAACCUUGGUCAGUGGCUCUGAGAAUGGGCUGCUGCAGCUCCCAUAGUGCUGGCUCCUUCCUUCCAGGCCAGUCCGGCUUAAGCACCACUUUAAGUGGUCCGGGCAUUCACUGGCCAAGCCCCUCACCGCAAUUGAGCUGCAGGGGUUUGAAAAGAGGGCCAGGGCCUCAAUGACAGGACCUUGGGCCAGGCUAAUUGGUUUUGGUUCAAGGGGAUACUGGAUUUGUGAAAAGCUCCAAACUGCCUUUCCCACGCCAGAGCCAGGCCACGGCUUUAAGGAGAUGGGUUCGAGGAGCUUGGGGCCAGGCAAGAAAGCUGAGAGCCAGGUGCCUCCAGCUGAUGAUCCUGCUCUAAUGGGCAAGAACUCCUCUGCUUGGAGGGUUGAAGGGUUGUAAGAAGGCAUUUCAUGGGUGCAGGCAGAUCCUGCUAACCCUUUCUCACAUACACAGCUAUGCCACAAAAGGGACCCUCUUCUCUGAACCCUUGGUGUGCCUUAGUUGAGGAGCAGCCUCACUUUCCCCCACUGGAAUCCUCCGUAAGAGAAACCAGCAAUUGCUGAGUUUUAGUUCUUGUCCCCAGGGCUGAACCAAAUCUAGCCAAUAAACUCUGCAAGAAUCCUGGACUCUAUCCUGAGGCAGGCAGUGUCCACUUCUGUCUCUUGAAAUGUCCCUAAACCUCCCUGGGUCUGAGCAGAGUAGAGAUGGGAAACAGGGAACCUCAAGGUACUUUUUUACUUUUAUUUUAAAAUAAAGGGUCAACUAUUUCUUUACAGUCAAAAUUAAGCAUUAAUUGUAUUAUGGCAAGUCUAUCAUUAUUGUAGAUAAUAAUACUGUAAAUGCUUUGGAACAUAGGUCUUGAUGUGUACCAAGAUAUCUAUGUGUUUGGACCAAAUGAUUGCAUAUCUGUAUAUGUAAUAUACCCAUCCUUAUAUAUGUGUGAUCUAUAUACUGAGUCAUAUACUUGUAUAACAAUCAGUUAUGUUAAGGAUGGCAGUCCGGUUGAGGAGGAGCUAUAGAAAGAUCACUCUUAUUUAAAAUGGUGCAUUGAUGGAGACCAGUUUUUCAUGGUUCAUUGUGUGUUGGAGGGAGCAUUCCUAAGUAAUCACCAGCUAAAGAAACUCCCUACCCCUUUCAUUAUCGUCCACAUUUUGCACCAUGCUUGCCCACUUGAGGCACAUGAUAAGUAGGAGAGGGAGACUUUGAAGAGAUAUAGAACUCUGUAUAUCACAUUUCCCACUUUUAUUUCAAUUUUUAAUUGCCCAGAGCCUAAUUUCUUUGGGUCUCUGCUGAUUUGCACAUUCGAGAUUCAUGUGUAAAUAUGCAUGUGGCAUGUGUGCACGCCUGGGCUUCUUUACCACAAAGUGUGUUCUCUCAGUGUUUAAAUACACACAAUCCACACAGACACACCAUUAUGGGCUUGCGUAUUUGCCUCUUCUCUCGAAUUGGGUUCAUUUUCCCUUCGAUAAUCCUCAAACCCAUUAAGCUCCCCCCCCCGCCCCCACAAAAAAUUGCCAACCCUACCACAGACCACUGGUCUCACCCCACUUCUCCAGCAGGCAGCUCUCCAGGCGGGAGCUGGAGUGAAGGUUCCUAUUAGGCAGACUUCAUUAAUGUUACCAAAUAUACCCCAGCACAUUUACUCAUCUACUAUGAAGUAUUAUCAUAAAUAAUUAAAAUUAAACUGCACUUGUCAAAAUAAAUGAACAAAGUACAGUUAGUGAUGUCUUUGCCUUGAUUUGCUUGCCUUGGGUUGGCUUAUUCACUAAUUUAAGAAAAGAAGGAAGAGCGAGGGAGAGGGGAGUUACGAAAGAACAGACUUGCGGGGGAAGGGGAGAAGGGGCGAGAAAGAGACGGGGAAACCCCUCAGUCACCUGCCCUUGGGUUUCCAGUCAUUAGGGCACACUCUGCCCGGCUGGAAUGCAGUCUCUACCGUCAGCUCAUAACACAUAUCGAGGUGUGCAGGUGGAAGGAGGGAUUUCUUUGUUUACCGAGGAAUGGCCUGGGAAUGGGCGAGAGGAUUGCCUUUGGGGAUUAAGGAGUGGGCUUUGUUUUUAUGAAGGGUCUUACUUCUUUUCUGAAGUUUUCUGCAGCUAAUUGAUUCAGUUCAGACAUGCCUCCUCCCUACCCGGCCAGCCGAGGCUGCGUGUUUGUGAGAAGAGCACAGGCCCCACAUCCCCAUCGGCUCCCGCCCCUUUCCCCACCAUGACCCUUGCAAACAGUGUGAACCUUCACGUGAAGGAGAUCACAGGCUAUGGGAGAAACCCCGUCAGGGGCUGAGACUUCUGUAUGUAUGUGUGUGUGAUACACUGCCACAUACUUAGACACCGCCAUGUCUAUUAUUAGAAGUAUAAUUCACAUAUAGGAACAGAUCACAGGUGUACAGUGGUUCUGGGCAUUCUGACAAAUGCAUUUACCCCAUGAUAACACUUCCCUCACCCCAUAAACUUCCUGGCUGCCUCUUCCGAUCAAUCCCUGUCCACCUGCCUCCUGAUAGCUCUGACCAUGGAUUCCUUUGACCCAUCUAGAGUUGUAUCUACAUAGAAUGUCUGCCAGGACUCUUUAGGAGAUUUCAUGUUUGCAGUGGCCUUGGGCAAGGGGUAAACACCCCCCCCCUCGGAUGGACCCAGAAGCCAGAUCUGUAAUUCAAUUUUUUUUUUUUUUUUUUGGUGGGGUGGCUGGUUUGAGGUGGUCUUCAUGCAGGAUAGCCCUGCUCCGACCAGAGGUCUGUUAAGGAUGGGGGACUGGUGAAGCUCACACGCUGCAGCUUGCUUCCCAUCCGAGGCAUCCAGGAGUGGAGGGAGAGCUGUUAUGGAAGGCGCUGGCUUUGUGCUAAUUAGAACUUCCUCGCACACAGGCACUGGAGCCCCUCACUGGUCAGCCUCACCUCCCCCUAUCAGCUGGCAACCUAGUUUUUGUUCCCCUCAUGAAUUAGGGGGUGCUGUGAGUGGAGCUGCUCUCUUGUCUCUGGCCAAAUGCAGGUUCUUUGUGUGUUGUAGGAAUGUGUGGGGUGGCCUUUUCUGAGCCUCCUCUGUCUUGUUAGGGUGGAGACGGACUGCACGUUGGAAAAGGGGUUGGCCGGUCCCCUGGGCUAGGCUGGUCCCACACUCCUGCAACUCGGGUUUGUUUUGAAAAGGACCUUUUGCUUCUGCCCUCUGGAGAGUGUGGCUUCAGACCCUUGGCCCCUCCGUUACCGUUACCCCCAUUCUGAGUGUCUCCCAAGUCUGUACCCACCCAUCUUAACCUUCAGCUGCCAUCUUUGCAGUGUCAGGAAGCCUGGGGGUGGGGGCUGUCUCCCUGGCCCUCUUCUGAAAAAGCCCAAACUUUUUUUUUUUUUUUCGUUUUGCCUUUUCCUUCUUUCACCUCCAGCCCAAUGGACAUAAUUUUCAAAAUGGAGAUUGUCUCUUAUAGAGGUUUCAUUAAAAAAAAAAAGGAAGGAAAGAAACAUUAACGUCACAGUAUCGUCAUUUAAAGAAAAAGCAUCUCUCAGCUUGGAGGCUGGGGGAGUUACAGCUUCCUGUCUGAUUAUCAGUUGGGAUGAAAUUUCUUGUGGGGAACCAGAGACAGGGGCAUUUCCUUACCAUGCUCCUCUUUUUAGCUCCUGAAUCCCCUCAGGUCUCCACUGGGGUUGUGUGUAAAAAUAUCUGCUCUCCUUGCCCCUUCGUCUCAUUUUCUCCUGCUUGAAUUAUCCUGAUCAGAAUACAGGUCACCCACUUCUUUGACUGUGUACACUGGGAUUUUAAAAAUCAGGAGUGGACUAUUGGCCAGCAUAAGGCUUUGCCAGGUUCCCUCAAGGUGGUGGACCCAGGCUAAAGAGGGUAGAAACAGGAAAUACCUCUGGAGCGCCCAAAAGGGCUUGAGGAAUUCCCACAUCAUGGCUCUUGGGGACGGCAGGAAGAUUGGCUCUUCCUGGCUUUCCUUGGUGGCCUUUUCUGCCCCUAGGGGUGACAAUCCUGAACCGAGACACUAGCGUGGACUUCAGAACAGUCCUGGACUGUGGUAAUAAUCCAGCAAUCCAAAUUCCAGAAGGGUGGCAGCUAUGGGGUGGGAAGGAUGCCCACACCUGGGAAGCAGGGUUUUAGGGCAUGUAUCCUUGACAAGUCACCUCCUCUCUCUGGGCUUCUGUAUCACCAUCUGUGAAAUGGGGAUAGUAGGACCUGCACCUCCAGGGGUCAUGUGAGGAAGAAAUACACAAAGUGCCUGGCAUGCAGUAGGUGCUGAGUAAAUGACAGCUCUUUCUGCAGGGUUGGACAGAGGGUACACAUAAAUGUCUGGAUCUGAAAUUUAAACCUCCACCUGCUGCAGACUCAGUGAAAGCACUAACAGAAGUCCAGAAUCCCUUGGAAGAAAUGACCAGUGCCUGCCAUGCAUAAUGGGCCCCUGAAUUGGGAGGCAAGACACAGAACUCCAAGGAGCAACCCCUUUUGGAAGGCUGGAAUGAGUAUAAAGUGUAAAGUUCCAAGCCUCUCUCACUGGGGAGGAGGACAUAUAAAUGUCUAUAGGUUUGAAGGGAGCAGGAUAGGGGUUGACUUCCAUGGCCAGAGGUUGAUUGUCACCAGGAGGUCCCUGUCAGUUCGGGGGUUCAGGAUUUCUAACAGCUGGUGCCUGGAGUCCCAGCUCCAGCAGGUUCUGAGUUUCAGCACUCAUGAACAUUGCUGUCUGGGGGGACACCGAGGUCAUUCUGGGAACUCGAUGGCAGGCUCAGAAUGACACGCUGGGCCCUAGGUGCACCCAGGUGCCCCACCUCAGGGCUGUCCAUAUCCGGAGCCUCAGCUCCAAGUGAGCAGGGCUUUGGUCCGGAGGGCUGACUGCCAGUUGCGCCCUAUCAGGUGGCUGGAUGCCUGGCCCACUGGCCCAUAACGAGCUCCGGGCUGGGCCCGCAAUUCCCUCUUGUCACCCCACCAUGCUUCUAUCUUGCUUCCCGGGAGGGCAAGGCAGAGGCGUGCAGAGCGCCCCGCGACCUCCCUCCUUGACGUGGAGGAUGCACGUGUCCCCACUGCCACCUUCCAGUCGACCGGGGCGCUCUCUGGGGGGGCCUGGGGGCACCUGAUGUCUCCUCUCUGUUUUACAGCUACUUCCCUGCAAGAGCUUCGGCUCCUCAGCGCCCUUCUCGCGGGCACGAACUAACCGUGGGCACAGCUCUCUCGCAGGAGGGCGCGCCGGAGGCAAGAUUGUCCUGUGAAGUGGAAUGGGACAGCCUCUGUUCAGCUCCUCUGAAAAUGGAGACAGAGAGGGGACCUGUGCAUCUUGCCAAGGUCAAGGGAUUGGAAUAGAGAGCCAUGCCCCUCUAGGACACUCGAGAUCGCCCGAAGGGGAGGAGCCCAGCAGAGAGGGAGAACGCCGUAGUCACUGUCCUGAGGCCAGGAUGAAGGAGGAGGACCAGGCAGAGGGCAUGGUGCCGGCUCCGCUCCCAUCGCUGCCCCUCCGAGACGUGGCCGGGGACCUGGGGAAACAGGCCCCAACCCCUCCUGUAGGGGCCUUUGCCUGUGAUCCUGCUGGUCGCCGCUUCUGCCUUUGUCAUAGCAUGUACCUGUCCUGGCUCAAGGCGCUCUGACCAGUCCUCCAGCAAAUAGAAGCUCUGCGCCAUCACACGUUCCACCCUGGAGGACGAAGGGCUGCACACUAGGAGGUGGCCCAGGCGCGGGGCUCCAGGCUUCUGGGGGUUAAUGACUCCCUCUCCCCAGCUGUCCUCCCCUUGGUGCUCCUCUUCCUCCCUCCUCUUGUUCACAGCAGGCAGGGCCUGGACCUAGGAGCCAGGCCGCUGUGCUGUUGCCAGGGGAGCCGGGAGCAGGAUCUGAGCUAUGCAGGGAAAAGGCCCAGCCUGUCAAAGUGUCUGAGAUGAACCGCCGCCGUCCCCAUGCAGCUGGGCUCAGACGUGUCUCGGCUCUUGUUCUGUGCCUGAGAAUGGCGACACCCAGUGAGGUUCAAGGGCAAACUCACUAUUCAUUAGUCAGAGGUUCUUGACGUCCCUGUCUCUCCCAGGGAUGGGUUCCUCCCCCCCCCCCCGCCCUUUUCUCUCCCUCCUGUGACACAUUCCUGGGUGCCUUUGGUGAGGACUACACACCCUCCUCCUCCUGCCCAACUCGUCUCCAGAGGCCCCUGAAUAAACUCCCCCCAAGGAGACCAGGCAGGGCAGAGACAAUGGCCACAGGAAAGCAUUCAGGCGGGACUCCAGCCAUGCUGGCCUGCCCUCCAUUCCCAGCGCCUCUGUGGGCCCCACCUCCCUCUGACUAAGGUACCCCUGAGCAACCAGCCCACACAAGACGAAGCCACUGGACACUGAUCUCUGGACAACAGGCCAGUCCAGUGCCAUUCGCAGUGGACCCCUUGGAUGCCCCCAUGGCUCAUAUGUCACAUAGCUGUCUACCUUGGUGCCUUUCCCUACCAUCAUGUGUCUAUUGUGUGACACUCUCUCUGUGAGUUGGAGCAUGUACAUUGUAUAAUAUUUUCUGAAAUGUGGCAGUAUCAAAAUAUAAAGGGCACAUAUACUUGGUUGCAAACAAAUUGCACUACUAGGAAUUUACUAUAUGGUUAAGAUGUAAGAGUUCCCAAAGAAAUAUGUACAAGAAUGUUCAUCAGAGUGUUUCUUUUUAAGAAUGUAAAGAAGUGGGACUGAGCCUAUGGUCAAUUCAUACUGUGAAAUACUAUGCAGCUACAAAAAUUGAUGUGGUAGGUCUCUAUGUAUUAGCUGCUGUGGGAGGCUGGCCAGUAUCUAUUCUUGGGUGGCUAGAAUAAAUCACACAACAGGUAA
This is a long non-coding RNA of Sus scrofa (pig), 7813 nucleotides long. RefSeq lists it as uncharacterized. NCBI's taxonomy places the organism in Eukaryota, Metazoa, Chordata, Mammalia, Artiodactyla, Suidae. The record is from RefSeq and is a predicted model, not a curated record.